GGGAUUGUGGCUCAACGGUAGAGCACUCACCUAGCACGUGCGGGGCCCUGGGUUUGAUCCUCAGCACCA
RNAcentral lists this transfer RNA (69 nucleotides) under Ictidomys tridecemlineatus (thirteen-lined ground squirrel). Its description in RNAcentral is "Spermophilus tridecemlineatus (thirteen-lined ground squirrel) tRNA". It matches the Rfam family "tRNA". From Rfam's summary of the family: Transfer RNA (tRNA) molecules are approximately 80 nucleotides in length. The record is from Rfam by way of RNAcentral. Lineage: Eukaryota; Metazoa; Chordata; Mammalia; Rodentia; Sciuridae.